UCAUUGGUUGGCCACUCGUACAAGUUCUGAGUCACCAUUGCCCCAGUACAUCUUGCAAGGAGGAUAGGUUAUGGGUUGAAGGUUUUAUGACUGGUUUGGUGUCCCAUUCCUACCACUGGAUGCCUUGCCUGAUUAAAGAAGAUGGCUGGUAUAGGCUCUGUAUUCUCCAUUACUAGAAGUCCUUGCUAGGGUCAGUCAUUUACAUAGGACCCUGGAAGUUUCUACUGUAGUAGGUUUCCACAUUGUUCCCCAAAUGCCCACCAAUUCCAGUUGUGUCUACCUGUUUUCUCUCCCUCCAUACCCCUAUCCCUCCUGUUCCCAUACCCACCCUCACUAAGUGUUCACCUGUAAAAUCUAUUCUAUUUCCCUUUCCCUGGGACAUCCAUGUGUUCCCCCCGUAAGACCUUCUUUGUUGCUUAGCCUCUUUGGGUCUGUGGAUUGUAGUGCAAGAUCCUUCUUAAAGGAUUAAUGAACUAUAUAAGCUUAUUAUACCUAUGUAAUUACGUAUAAAGUUAAUAAAUUACAUAAGCUUUCAUAUGUAUAAAGCAACUGUACUUGGCUUUAAUUCUUUUGCAUUUAUGAAUGCAUGUGUGUGGAUAUGGUCUAUGCCUAUGUGCACCUAUGUGUGGGUGUGAUUGCCUAUACAUGUGGAAGAUGUCUUCCUUAAAUAGUUUCUAUAUGAUGAUGAUGAUGACGACGACGAAGACGACUAACUGGCCAGUGACACCCCCCUGGGGGGGGAUCUGCCCAUCUUUACCCUCUAGCAGUGGCAUUCUAAGCACAAGCCACUACCAUGUCCUACUCCUUCAUGUGAGAUCUGGGGCUGGCACUUAUAUCCCCCUGCUUGCAUGGUAAACACUUGACCCUCUGAGUCAUUUCCUCAGCCUCCAUACCACAUUAUAAUGCUCCGUCUUCUAUGUUUCAUUUUGGGUCAUCUCUGUUGCUGUGCCUUCGAGUUCACUAAUCUUUUCUUUUGUAAUGUCUAAUCUGCUAAUCCCAGAAACUCCACUUCUCAUCACGCAUAUUUUGGUUUUAAUAACCACAAGCUCUAUUUGGUUCUGUUUUUCACUUUUCUUGUUUUUGCCUAACUUUUUUGAACAUAUGGAAUAUAGUUAUAAUAACCAGUUUAAUAUCCUUCUCUGCUAACUAUAACAUCUGUGGUUAGUUCUUAAUCAGAUCCAAUUGAUUGAUUUAUCUUCUCAUUAUGGAUAAUAUUUUCCUGUGUCUUUGUGUGUCUGGGAAAUUUUGAUUGGAUGCCAGAUAUUGUAAAUUAUACCUUGUAGGAUGCUGAGACUUUUUGUGUUCCUAUAAAUAUUGUUGAGCUUUGUUCCGGGCACAGUUAAGUUACUCGGAAUCAGCAUGGCUCUUGCUGGUCUUGCUUUUAAAAAUCGCUAGGCAGACUAGAGUGUUGUUAGUCACGGGGUAAUUAUUCCCCAGCAGAAGCGAUUCUUUUAUGAGUAUCCUACCCCGUGCACUGUGUAUUGUGAGGCUUCACCCCCAGCAUUCUUCCCUGACUGUUGGCUGGGCAUCACUACUUCUCCUUCUGGGUGGUUCUUUAUGCGGCACUUGCUUAUGGGGAUGUUCUGGUGUGUGUUCAGCUGAGCCCUCCAGGGACCUGGCACAUAGGCCUAGAGUUCUCUCUAGGCAGCUUUUCCUUCAAACACUCAGUUCUGUGAGAUCUCCCACCCUCAACUCGGUUCCUUCACUCUGGAACUCUGCUAGAGUGCUCCAUACUCUAUCUGAGUCCUCCUCCUGUGUUGUGCUCUGAAAACUCCCCUGGGGCAGUAAGGAAGGCAGCCAUGGGCCUGUUUUAUCUGUUUCUCCUGUCUCAGAGACCACUAGCAUCCUUCAUUAUCUGAGAAUCCAGGGUCUUGUUGGUUAAGAUGGAAGAAUAAACUGGUUCCUAUUUUUUAUUUUUUUUAAUCUUGAAGCAGCACUAGCUUCUCUGAAUUGACCUUCUCUUUAUGAGGUAUCGGUAGGGAGUGGGUUGUUUUUUGUUUUGUUUUUUCUUUUCUUCUUGAGGUUGAGUUUUACGUUGUAGUUCAGAAUGUCCUUGAACUCAUGAGUCUUCUGCUUCAGCUAGCAUAAUAGGGAGGUACCCUACACCUGCCUUUGUGUUUCUUUUGGUUUGGGAUGUGAUUUUACUAUGUUUGCAGGCUGGUCUAGAACACUUUUUUUUUUUUUAAAUAAUGAAGUUAUUAUUAUAUGUGUGCAUGUGCCAUGGCAUGUGUUUAGAGGUCAGAAGACCACCUUCAGGAGUCCAUUCUUUUCUUCCAUCAUGGGUUCUGGGAUUGAACUGGGGUCAGCAGGUUUGCAUGCUAGAUGCUUUCACCCACUGAGCCAUAUCUUCAACCCUGAUAAAGACGUCUUGAUCCUUUGGCCUCAAGAUUCUGAGUACAAGGAGUAUAGGUAUCUACAUGAACAUGUCUGGCUUACAUUUGACUUUUACAGAUCAGAAUAAAAAACAAUAUUUC
Molecule: long non-coding RNA, 2474 nt
Filed under: Mus musculus (house mouse)
Lineage: Eukaryota; Metazoa; Chordata; Mammalia; Rodentia; Muridae
Description: long non-coding RNA chr17:51929302-51931776
Source: RNAcentral